RNAcentral lists this ribosomal RNA (897 nucleotides) under Shigella sonnei. Its description in RNAcentral is "partial 23S ribosomal RNA". It matches the Rfam family "Bacterial large subunit ribosomal RNA", at positions 1 to 931 of the family's 2925-position model. The record is from RNAcentral. Lineage: Bacteria; Pseudomonadati; Pseudomonadota; Gammaproteobacteria; Enterobacterales; Enterobacteriaceae.
GGGUUGUGAGGUUAAGCGACUAAGCGUACACGGUGGAUGCCCUGGCAGUCAGAGGCGAUGAAGGACGUGCUAAUCUGCGAUAAGCGUCGGUAAGGUGAUAUGAACCGUUAUAACCGGCGAUUUCCGAAUGGGGAAACCCAGUGUGAUUCGUCACACUAUCAUUAACUGAAUCCAUAGGUUAAUGAGGCGAACCGGGGGAACUGAAACAUCUAAGUACCCCGAGGAAAAGAAAUCAACCGAGAUUCCCCCAGUAGCGGCGAGCGAACGGGGAGCAGCCCAGAGCCUGAAUCAGUGUGUGUGUUAGUGGAAGCGUCUGGAAAGGCGCGCGAUACAGGGUGACAGCCCCGUACACAAAAAUGCACAUAUUGUGAGCUCGAUGAGUAGGGCGGGACACGUGGUAUCCUGUCUGAAUAUGGGGGGCCCAUCCUCCAAGGCUAAAUACUCCUGACUGACCGAUAGUGAACCAGUACCGUGAGGGAAAGGCGAAAAGAACCCCGGCGAGGGGAGUGAAAAAGAACCUGAAACCGUGUACGUACAAGCAGUGGGAGCACGCUUAGGCGUGUGACUGCGUACCUUUUGUAUAAUGGGUCAGCGACUUAUAUUCUGUAGCAAGGUUAACCGAAUAGGGGAGCCGAAGGGAAACCGAGUCUUAACUGGGCGUUAAGUUGCAGGGUAUAGACCCGAAACCCGGUGAUCUAGCCAUGGGCAGGUUGAAGGUUGGGUAACACUAACUGGAGGACCGAACCGACUAAUGUUGAAAAAUUAGCGGAUGACUUGUGGCUGGGGGUGAAAGGCCAAUCAAACCGGGAGAUAGCUGGUUCUCCCCGAAAGCUAUUUAGGUAGCGCCUCGUGAAUUCAUCUCCGGGGGUAGAGCACUGUUUCGGCAAGGGGGUCAUC